GAUGAACGCUAGCUACAGGCUUAACACAUGCAAGUCGAGGGGAAACGACAUCGAAAGCUUGCUUUUGAUGGGCGUCGACCGGCGCACGGGUGAGUAACGCGUAUCCACCCUGCCCAUCACUUGGGGAUAACCUUGCGAAAGUAAGACUAAUACCCAAUGAUAUCUCUAGAAGACAUCUGAAAGAGAUUAAAGAUUUAUCGGUGAUGGAUGGGGAUGCGUCUGAUUAGCUUGUUGGCGGGGUAACGGCCCACCAAGGCAACGAUCAGUAGGGGUUCUGAGAGGAAGGGCCCCCACAUGUGAACUGAGACACGGUCCAAACUCCUACGGGAGGCAGCAGUGAGGAAUAUUGGGCAAUGGGCGAGAGCCUGAACCAGCCAAGUAGCGUGCAGGAAGACGGCCCUAUGGGUUGUAAACUGCUUUUAUAAGGGAAUAAAGUGAGAGUCGUGACUCUUUUUGUAUGUACCUUAUGAAUAAGGACCGGCUAAUUCCGUG
Molecule: ribosomal RNA, 492 nt
Filed under: uncultured bacterium
Lineage: Bacteria
Description: partial 16S ribosomal RNA
Rfam family: Bacterial small subunit ribosomal RNA
Source: RNAcentral